GUGGAGGCAGUGCCGAGGCUCUCGGGGCUUCUGUUCCGUCACCGCGAACGCCUGCCCCUCCCCCGGGGACCCGCCUGGCGGACGAACUGCCCCGCACCUGCCCACGACCCUCCUUCCCUCCCUAGCCCCGGGCGAGGCGAGGCAGGCGGGUGGGGGAGGCCCCGAGAAAGCCAGCUUACGGCUGGUGCUCAAGAAAUGUUUGCUACUUUUGAAAGUUGAUGCUUCUUGAAUGCUACGUGCCAGACUGUAUACUCCUGUUGGGCAGGGAGGCCCAUCUAUCCAGGAGGCAGCCAUGGCAGCCAGCACCGGGGUCGGGAUUAGAGUCCCUGAGGACCUGCUCUGGCUCUGCUGCUGAGAAGCUGUGUGACCUGGAGAAAAUUACUUACCCUCCCUGUGUACCCUCGAACUACCUCUCAGGGUGGCCAUGAGAAUUAGCCCCGCAGCAGUUACCUGCUGUUAAGCUUUUCAACAAACAUCUAUUGGACUGAAGAUGCCCUCAGCCUGGCCUGAGCCAGCUUCCAGGCGGCAGCUUCCUCAGUUUUAUCCUGGACUAUCUGCAAAAGCAAACUGUGAGUCUAAGAAGCACAGUCACACAGCAAGCACAUGGCUUCUGCAAACAGUGACCACAGCUGCACACUACAGGGAAGUCUUUGCUUUUGUACACAGUGAUAAUGAUUCCCGUCAAUAAAAACCAUAAUUUACACAAAGAACUGA
Non-coding RNA from Vicugna pacos (alpaca), 714 nucleotides. The record is from RefSeq and is a predicted model, not a curated record. NCBI's taxonomy places the organism in Eukaryota, Metazoa, Chordata, Mammalia, Artiodactyla, Camelidae.